Molecule: ribosomal RNA, 393 nt
Filed under: uncultured bacterium
Lineage: Bacteria
Description: partial 16S ribosomal RNA
Rfam family: Bacterial small subunit ribosomal RNA
Source: RNAcentral
AUACGGAGGACGCGAGCGUUAUCCGGAUUCAUUGGGUUUAAAGGGUGCGCAGGCGGCCGUGCAAGUCAGCGGUGAAAGCCCGGGGCUCAACCCCGGAAGUGCCGUUGAUACUGCGUGGCUGGAAUGCGGUCGAGGCGGGCGGAACGUGGCGUGUAGCGGGGAAAUGCGUAGAUAUGCCACAGAAAGCCGAUAGCGGAGGCAGCUCGCCAGGCCUGCAUUGACGCUCGGGCACGAAAGCGUGGGGAUCGAACAGGAUUAGAUACCCUGGUAGUCCACGCCGUAAACGAUGGGCGCUCGUCGUCGGCGACAGACAGUCGGCGGCCAAGCGAAAGCGAUAAGCGCCCCACCUGGGGAGUACGGUCGCAAGGCUGAAACUCAAAUGAAUUGACGGGG